This 426-nucleotide long non-coding RNA is filed under the name Elaeis guineensis (African oil palm). RNAcentral's name for it is "long non-coding RNA (EGUI_LNC003922)". The record is from RNAcentral. Lineage: Eukaryota; Viridiplantae; Streptophyta; Magnoliopsida; Arecales; Arecaceae.
CAACAGUUUCUUUAAUGGAGGAACUUUCAUGUCCUUCAAAUGGAGGAAGUCUUCUCCUUCAGUGACAUCAAUCUGAUUAUUCUCAUUCAGACUUGUAUUUGGACUCUCUUAGGUAGAAGGAAAGCCUCAAGAUAAGGAAGAAGAAUUAAAGAAAAAUCGAGUCUUCCAAUCAUGAAUGGAAGAAGGAAGGCCGGUGAUGAAAGACAAACCCUUCCUCAGAGAAAAGAACCACCAACCCUCAAUCUUAGAGUGGGGGUGAAGGAUGAAGAAAGAUCGGAAGAGAAAAACCCGAGGCUCGAUCGGGAUCAUAAGGCACAAUAAGGUAAAGGUAACAAGGAGCCGAAUGGAAUUUGAUGCAAGCUAAGCUGGACAAAGUCAGUAAUAGUCCAAGAUGUUCCGAAUGAACUCCGAAAUCGAGAAUGGAGG